UACAGAGGUCCCAAGCGUUGUUCGGAUUCACUGGGCGUAAAGGGUGCGUAGGUGGUUGGGUAAGUCCGAUGUGAAAUCUCAGAGCUCAACUCUGAAACUGCAUUGGAUACUAUCUGACUUGAGGGUCGGAGGGGGGACUGGAAUUCUCGGUGUAGCAGUGAAAUGCGUAGAUAUCGAGAGGAACACCAGUGGCGAGGGCGAGUCCCUGGACGACUCCUGACACUGAGGCACGAAAGCUAGGGGAGCAAACAGG
Molecule: ribosomal RNA, 253 nt
Filed under: uncultured bacterium
Lineage: Bacteria
Description: partial 16S ribosomal RNA
Rfam family: Bacterial small subunit ribosomal RNA
Source: RNAcentral